RNAcentral lists this ribosomal RNA (484 nucleotides) under Terebra sp. MNHN IM 2013-52272. RNAcentral's name for it is "partial 16S ribosomal RNA". It matches the Rfam family "Bacterial large subunit ribosomal RNA", at positions 1853 to 2598 of the family's 2925-position model. The record is from RNAcentral. Lineage: Eukaryota; Metazoa; Mollusca; Gastropoda; Neogastropoda; Terebridae.
UCGGACCUGCCCGGUGAAGUUUUUUAACGGCCGCGGUACUCUGACCGUGCAAAGGUAGCAUAAUCAUUUGCCUUAUAAUUGAAGGCUGGUAUGAAUGGUUUGACAAGAAUAUAGCUGUCUCUUUAUGAUUUGGUAGAAUUUUAUUUUUAGGUGAAAAAGCCUUAAUUUAAUUAAUAGACAAGAAGACCCUAUCGAGCUUAAAGGAAUUUAAUGGAUGAGUAGGCUUAUCGGUGGAGAAAGUGAACUGUUAAAUAUUUUGGUUGGGGCGACUUAGGAACAUGAAAAGCUUCCUUUUUGUUAUUUAUACAUACAGGUAUUGAUCCAGUGAUUAUUGAUUGAAGGAAUUAGUUACCGUAGGGAUAACAGCAUUAUCUUUUUUGAGAGUUCUUAUCGAAAAAAGGGUUUGUGACCUCGAUGUUGGACCAGAAUGUCCUGAAGAUGUAGAAGUCUUCGAGGGUUGGUCUGUUCGACCAUUAAAAUUCUA